UCAGCUUUGCCCUCUGGACUUGGCAGUUGUCCGGUCAUGCCAACUUGACCUUCAGGCCUCAAACCUCUGGACUCACACGGACCUCUGACCCCGGUGACCUGGGGGCAAGGAGAAACGAGAGAGGCAAUGGAAGGGUGUGAACCAUAGUGGAAGAUGGCGUGAUGAGGCAUUCACAGUAGAACAAAGAAAUACAAUUAGAAUCGAUGAAAAACUGCAGACAAGCACUGAGAAACAACAAAUGUGCAAAAGAAGACAAACUGUGCAAAUAUAAAAAAACAACAAAUAAUAAUUUAAAGAAGUAAUUAAGUCCCUGUCUGCGAGUCAAGUUACAACGAUGUUUACUUCUUAAACACAAGACAGGAAAUCUUUCCUCUCUGCCCGACCCUCUCCUCACCCAAACGUGGAUGAAAACAAGUUGACUACUUGAAGCUGCUGAGUAAUGAUGACGGGGGAGCUUGAGAUGUUUGCAGAG
Molecule: long non-coding RNA, 472 nt
Organism: Hypanus sabinus (Atlantic stingray)
Lineage: Eukaryota; Metazoa; Chordata; Chondrichthyes; Myliobatiformes; Dasyatidae
Exons: 4
Source: RefSeq, a predicted model, not a curated record